Molecule: ribosomal RNA, 253 nt
Filed under: uncultured bacterium
Lineage: Bacteria
Description: partial 16S ribosomal RNA
Rfam family: Bacterial small subunit ribosomal RNA
Source: RNAcentral
CACGUAGGGGACGAGCGUUGUCCGGAUUCAUUGGGCGUAAAGCGCGCGUAGGCGGCUCGGAAAGUCGGUCGUGAAAUGCCGGGGCUCAACCCCGGGACUGCGUCCGAUACUCUCGAGCUGGAGGCAGGUAAGGGAGAUCGGAAUUCCUGGUGUAGCGGUGAAAUGCGCAGAUAUCAGGAGGAACACCGGUGGCGAAGGCGGAUCUCUGGGCCUUGCCUGACGCUGAGGCGCGAAAGCUAGGGGAGCGAACAGG